GUGAAUCAUCGAAUUUUUGAACGCAAAUUGCGCUUCCUGGGAUCCCGGGAAGGAUGCCGGUUGGAUGAUAAGUAGUAACAAAAGAUCGUUUUGGUUGCAAAUGGUGACGUUUCCGGAGAUUGGGCUUAUCUUAACUUUUUUUGUUAAUGGGCUUAAAAUUGACCUUUUUUGCGCAUUUUUAGACGUACAUAAAUUUUUUUUUAUUCUGCUAUUGUUAAUGCCAAAAUCGUAUUAGAUGAGAGCACAUCUUGUGGUUUCGUGUCCAUA
Molecule: unclassified non-coding RNA, 267 nt
Filed under: Rhizophagus sp. (in: glomeromycetes)
Lineage: Eukaryota; Fungi; Glomeromycota; Glomeromycetes; Glomerales; Glomeraceae
Description: partial internal transcribed spacer 2
Source: RNAcentral